Molecule: ribosomal RNA, 791 nt
Filed under: Enenterid sp. A-KH-2003
Lineage: Eukaryota; Metazoa; Platyhelminthes; Trematoda; Plagiorchiida; Enenteridae
Description: eukaryotic LSU rRNA
Rfam family: Eukaryotic large subunit ribosomal RNA
Source: RNAcentral
AGGUCAUUCCGCGGAGAUGCUGCUCCACUCCAAGUCCAUUCAUGAGUACGGUAUUUCAGACUUGGCCCAUAGAGGGUGAAAGGCCCGUGGGAGUGGGGUUUCAGGCAUGUCAGUGUCUCUCUGGAUAGACCUUGGAGUCGGGUUGUUUGUGAAUGCAGCCCAAAGCGGGUGGUAAACUCCAUCCAAGGCUAAAUACAUACACGAGUCCGAUAGCGAACAAGUACCGUGAGGGAAAGUUGAAAAGUACUUUGAAGAGAGAGUAAACAGUGCGUGAAACCGCUCAGAGGUAAACGGGUGGAGUUGAACUGCGAACUCAGAGAAUUCAGCUGGUGAGAAUGGUUUGAGCUUGGUCAAACAGGUUGGUGUCUUGGGGUCUGCCGAGAUGCAGGUCUCUGCCUUCGGGUGGGGAUGCGCGAUGCACUUAUCAAGUGUUGUGCGCCUCAGUGGCAUGUCGAGCCUACUCGCCGGUGCAUUUUCUCUGGGUGUUCACCACGACCGGCACUGCUGUCUGGCUGUUAUGGUUAAACCGUCUUUGCUUUGUCCUUGUGGCUUUGCUUGGUCGGGAUGGCAGGUAGCCUGUUAGCCUUGUCUUCGGACUUGGUUUUCGGGUGUAAUCAGCUGACUGUAAUGGUUCUGUGCAGUGUGUCGGAGACGGCGGCUUGUGGUGUGGGCAUGCGUGCUUGUCUGCUGACUUGGUUGGGUUUGGUUGUCAUGUUGCUUGUUCUGCAAGCCUGGCGAUGGCCUGACUAUGCUUGGUGGGCGGUGGCGUGUGUGACACUGUUUCAGGGCCU